This 359-nucleotide ribosomal RNA is filed under the name uncultured Treponema clone RFS33p. RNAcentral's name for it is "bacterial SSU rRNA". It matches the Rfam family "Bacterial small subunit ribosomal RNA", at positions 137 to 503 of the family's 1533-position model. The record is from RNAcentral. Lineage: Bacteria; Pseudomonadati; Spirochaetota; Spirochaetia; Treponematales; Treponemataceae.
AGUGGGAUAGCAUAGAAUAGUGGUAUACGAUAUGUGAGCGCUGUGCGCUUAAGAAAGGGUUCGNCCCGCCUUGGAUGGGCCCGCGUCCCAUUAGCUUGUUGGUGAGGUAAAAGCCCACCAAGGCGAUGAUGGGUAGCCGGCCUGAGAGGGUGAACGGCCACACUGGGACUGAGAUACGGCCCAGGNCCUACGGGAGGCAGCAGCUAAGAAUAUUCCGCAAUGGACGAAAGNCUGACGGAGCGACGCCGCGUGGAUGACGAAGGCCGUGAGGUUGUAAAAUCCUUUUAUUGNUGAAGAAUAAGCGGGGGAGGGAAUGCCCCCGUGAUGACGUUAGGCAAUGAAUAAGCCCCGGCUAAUUA